UGGUGGAGUGAUUUGUCUGGUUAAUUCCGUUAACGAACGAGACCUCGACCUAUUAAAUAGUCCGGCGAACCUCUCGGGGUUCGGUAUUCCGGUACUUCUUAGAGGGACUAUUGGUUCUGAUCCGGUGGAAGUUCGAGGCAAUAACA
This 146-nucleotide ribosomal RNA is filed under the name uncultured eukaryote. RNAcentral's name for it is "partial 18S ribosomal RNA". It matches the Rfam family "Eukaryotic small subunit ribosomal RNA", at positions 1299 to 1458 of the family's 1831-position model. The record is from RNAcentral.